Molecule: non-coding RNA, 23 nt
Filed under: Arabidopsis thaliana (thale cress)
Lineage: Eukaryota; Viridiplantae; Streptophyta; Magnoliopsida; Brassicales; Brassicaceae
Source: RNAcentral
AAGCGUGCCUAAUUAGGUGGAUG